Molecule: ribosomal RNA, 323 nt
Filed under: Gari elongata
Lineage: Eukaryota; Metazoa; Mollusca; Bivalvia; Cardiida; Psammobiidae
Description: partial 16S ribosomal RNA
Rfam family: Archaeal large subunit ribosomal RNA
Source: RNAcentral
CUAAGGUAGCGUAAUAGGUCGUCCUUUAAUUGGGGAAAAGUAUGAAUGGUCAGAUGGUGGAAAACUUUAUUGGAAAUAAUAGCUUGAAAUUUACUUCUUAGUGCAAAGGCUAAGAUAGAUUUACUAGACGAGAAGACCCUGUUGAGCUUAAUAUGGUGCAGUCUUUGUUGGCUGUAAGAUACGUUUAUUCGGGGCCGAAAGGAAGGGACAAACAUUCCUUCUUGGUGUUGUGCGGAUCCAACAUGGUUGAAAAGAAGAAGAAGUUACCACAGGGAUAACAGCGCAAUCUUCUUGUCAAGGCCUUAUUUGAGGCUAGGGUUUGC